RNAcentral lists this transfer RNA (70 nucleotides) under Dipodomys ordii (Ord's kangaroo rat). It matches the Rfam family "tRNA". From Rfam's summary of the family: Transfer RNA (tRNA) molecules are approximately 80 nucleotides in length. The record is from Rfam by way of RNAcentral. Lineage: Eukaryota; Metazoa; Chordata; Mammalia; Rodentia; Heteromyidae.
GGGAAGGUGGCUCAGUGGUAGAGUGUUUGCCUUGCAUGCAUGAGGCCCUAGGUUUGAUUCCUCAGUACCA